RNAcentral lists this ribosomal RNA (467 nucleotides) under uncultured bacterium. RNAcentral describes it as "bacterial SSU rRNA". It matches the Rfam family "Bacterial small subunit ribosomal RNA", at positions 329 to 793 of the family's 1533-position model. The record is from RNAcentral.
UUCCAGACUCCUACGGGAGGCAGCAGUGAGGAAUAUUGGUCAAUGGGCGAGAGCCUGAACCAGCCAAGUCGCGUGAAGGAUGACGGCCCUACGGGUUGUAAACUUCUUUUGUCAGGGAGCAAUUGAGUCCACGUGUGGGCUUAGCGAGAGUACCUGAAGAAAAAGCAUCGGCUAACUCCGUGCCAGCAGCCGCGGUAAUACGGAGGAUGCGAGCGUUAUCCGGAUUUAUUGGGUUUAAAGGGUGCGUAGGCGGAUUUUUAAGUCAGCGGUAAAAUGUCCGGGCUCAACCCGGGCCGGCCGUUGAAACUGGGGAUCUUGAGUGGGCGAGAAGUAUGCGGAAUGCGUGGUGUAGCGGUGAAAUGCAUAGAUAUCACGCAGAACUUCGAUUGCGAAGGCAGCAUACCGGCGCCCGACUGACGCUGAGGCACGAAAGCGUGGGGAUCGAACAGGAUUAGAUACCCGUGUAU